RNAcentral lists this ribosomal RNA (495 nucleotides) under uncultured bacterium. RNAcentral's name for it is "partial 16S ribosomal RNA". It matches the Rfam family "Bacterial small subunit ribosomal RNA", at positions 30 to 507 of the family's 1533-position model. The record is from RNAcentral.
UGAACGCUGGCGGCGUGCCUAAUGCAUGCAAGUCGAGCGAACAGACGAGGAGCUUGCUCCUCUGACGUUAGCGGCGGACGGGUGAGUAACACGUGGAUAACCUACCUAUAAGACUGGGAUAACUUCGGGAAACCGGAGCUAAUACCGGAUAAUAUAUUGAACCGCAUGGUUCAAUAGUGAAAGACGGUUUUGCUGUCACUUAUAGAUGGAUCCGCGCCGCAUUAGCUAGUUGGUAAGGUAACGGCUUACCAAGGCAACGAUGCGUAGCCGACCUGAGAGGGUGAUCGGCCACACUGGAACUGAGACACGGUCCAGACUCCUACGGGAGGCAGCAGUAGGGAAUCUUCCGCAAUGGGCGAAAGCCUGACGGAGCAACGCCGCGUGAGUGAUGAAGGUCUUCGGAUCGUAAAACUCUGUUAUUAGGGAAGAACAAAUGUGUAAGUAACUAUGCACGUCUUGGCGGUACCUAAUCAGAAAGCCACGGCUAACUACGUG